Molecule: transfer RNA, 73 nt
Filed under: Felis catus (domestic cat)
Lineage: Eukaryota; Metazoa; Chordata; Mammalia; Carnivora; Felidae
Also listed under: 2 other names
Rfam family: tRNA
About the family: Transfer RNA (tRNA) molecules are approximately 80 nucleotides in length. Their secondary structure includes four short double-helical elements and three loops (D, anti-codon, and T loops).
Source: Rfam by way of RNAcentral
CCCUGGCUGGCUUAGUCGGUAGAGCAUGUGACUCUUGAUCUCACGGUUGUGAGGUCAAGCCCCACGUUGGGCA